RNAcentral lists this unclassified non-coding RNA (2648 nucleotides) under Hevea brasiliensis (rubber tree). Lineage: Eukaryota; Viridiplantae; Streptophyta; Magnoliopsida; Malpighiales; Euphorbiaceae. The record is from RNAcentral.
UCCAAAUUGAUUAUUUUAUGUUAAACUUGACAAAUACAUAUAUGACUGCACAAAUUAAAACCUUUUUCUGACCAUUAAAAUAAAACUUAUCCGUAGAGUAAUACACUGUAAUGAGGGUAAUGGAGUUGAUAACAAGAGAUUUCACAUAAACUUCCUGAAACUAUAGAUGCAUAUUUCCAAUCAGAAGAAUAGAAUGAAUCACUUCAGCAGUUCCUACUGUAAAUGACAAAAUUAAGUGUGGCUUGUACCAAGAAAACACUGAAAAAUCAGCAGCUCUGCUCUUUUUAAUUACUUGAAAAACAUGAAUUUACUUAGACAUGGCUUGAUUUGGAGGGGGAACAUUUAGUUGUUCAUCAUCAGCCUGUCUUCCCUGUUGCUGAGCCAGGAUUCCUUUCCAACCUACAUUCAACAUUCACAAAAUUAACACAGUAAAUUUUUCAAAAUUGAGUGCUGUAAUGCAGUGCUGAUUCAAACUACAAAGAAGAAACAAAAAUUCCCUUUUUCUUGAAUUUUCCGUAUUUUUCUUUUUAUCUCUUCUACAUUAAAAACUUCAGAAGGGAAUAGGAUAGGGUUUGAACUUGUAGUCUUUACAGAAUGAUAAUGGUAGCAAUCAGAGCUCAUUGUUCCCUGCAAUUAGACAAAAUCCCUGGCCAUUCUUUUGGAUACGGUUGAAUACAUUAGAGACCAACAUGACUGAUACGUACUGAGAAGUGAGAAGGAUAGUACCUAAAGCAGGGUCAAGUCCUCUGUUUUUAAGCUCUCUGAACUCCUGGCAAAGGGAACAACAUGGACAAAAUAUAUGAGAUACCACAUCUGUGUAGGGAGCUUCUUCCAAAUUAAACUUCUUUCUCAGCUUAGUUCUGUACUCAGUGCUCAAAAUCCAUUGAGAGUAUGAAGCAAGCAUCAAAAAGAAGUAACAGGAACUCCUACCCCUACAAGCUGCAUUCACUAGUUAACAUCGUUUUUACAAAAUGGGAAGAAAAAAUAAAAAAAAAAUGAUAGGCUAUAUAGAGAAACUUACUAGACUUUCCUUCGUCCAACACUUCUGAUAUUUGUCCGAACGUUGCACAAGGAACAAAUGCUGUAGCAAUGGCUGACAAAACAUAUAAGAAAUGUCAAGAAAUCACUGAAGUUAAAAGCUUAAGCUUAUAGGGGAGAACUCCAAGAAACAAGAAAGACAAUGGUCUUGUUGAUGUUCAGAAAGAGAGAAAAGGGAAAUCUUUAAUUUUCUGAGUUGGAGAUUUACAAUUUGUUUGAUCUUGACGACAAUCAAACAAUCCAGAAGUCCAGGGACGUCCAAUCACUAGAUCUACAUCUAAUAAGCUAGUGGAAGAAUCUUGGGGCGUCUCAGAAUGAUUGCUUGAUGAAGCUUGAGGCUGAGUUGUUGUUGUAGUGAUUGCAGGCUGAUCUGAUGGUAAUGUUUCUUUGAUCUCCUCAGUGAUUUCAUGCCUACCCAUAUGAUCAACUAAAGAAAUAAAUGAACUCCUGAGCUAUCUUCAAUAUUCCAGGACUUGUUUCAAAACAGCGUCCUUAUCAACGAACCUGGAAUAGAAAAGUCCAACUCAAGCCAUAUAGGGUGUAGACGAAUUACAGUGCGAUAGGAAAAUUAAGAAGCCGCCGAAGAAGGAAAGAGGAUUACAAAUGAUCUAUAGCAAAGAAUAGCCAUCCCAACAAGUUUCCAAGUUUUAGUUGUUUUGCUGGAAAUACUAAUAAAAUAUAUAAAUUAACAUAUUGGACGGUAGCUUAUAGUGCCUUGUCCCGUGUGGUUGGGUAGAAGACUAGAAAUUCAAACUCUCUCCUUAAAAAAUUUCUGCAGUCAAAAUUAUAUAUAUACAUAUAGAACGCCAAAUGUCAAAUGACAUACCCGCUCCAUUGUUGAAUGUUAGACCAACCUCAUGCAAAAACUUCUAGAGGCCAACCAGAAGCAUAUCUGUUGCGCACCGCAAAAAUAUAUAAAUUACUAAGAAAUAAAAUAAACAUACAAAAUACUUACCUGAUUCACCCUCUCAAUAUAAUGAUACAUCCAUAGCCAUGUCAUUUUCCAUUAUUAACAAGUAAUAAAUAAUCAAUUACAAGCUCAAACUACACUACUCAUAAAUCCAAUUACACCCAAGAGAAUUCAUACUACAGAAUCCAUAUUACAGUCAAUAUAUUAUUUAGUCCAUCUCAAUCUCCUCUAGACAUAAAUCAAUACAUUUAUUAUUAUAACUGCUACACCACAAAUGGUGUCUUCAACUACAUUGGCAAGAGUCCUCUCAUCAAUAGACAAAAAUUCCUUUCUUUUGAAUUCUAUGCCCUUUCACCAAUUUAGGCCGAAACCUCUUUCCCUCUAUGGGACUGCAAUGGGCAUGAGCUCCUCUUCAAUGGGCAAAGCCGCUCUCUUCAAUGGGCAAAGCCGCUCCCUCAAAUUCUUUAGUGUUAUCAAAUAAUCAAAUCUCCAUGCUUGAACUUGAAUCAUUCGAAUCUUCAUUCUUUGAUCUUCAUCUUGGGUGUAACUUAUUUCUUUCUUCAGAAAAUCUUCGAGUCAAACUUUUUUGAUUUUGCAUCAAGAGCUCCACCUUAAAUUUAAUUCUCCAUCGUCAUCAUUAUUGUAUGUGCGACUUUCUAUAUGUCGCAGUAGCUCUACCUUCAACCAAACUCAUCAAGAU